Molecule: ribosomal RNA, 254 nt
Filed under: uncultured bacterium
Lineage: Bacteria
Description: partial 16S ribosomal RNA
Rfam family: Bacterial small subunit ribosomal RNA
Source: RNAcentral
CACGUAGGGGGCAAGCGUUGUCCGGAUUUGUUGGGCGUAACGAGCUCGUAGGCGGCUCAGUAAGUCAGGUGUGAAACCUCCAGGCUCAACCUGGAGACGCCACCUGAUACUGCUGUGGCUAGAGUCCGGUAGGGGAGCGUGGAAUUCCUGGUGUAGCGGUGAAAUGCGCAGAUAUCAGGAGGAACACCAGCGGCGAAGGCGGCGCUCUGGGCCGGAACUGACGCUGAGGAGCGAAAGCGUGGGUAGCAAACAGG